AGUGAACGCUGGCGGUAGGCCUAACACAUGCAAGUCGAACGGCAGCACAGUAAGAGCUUGCUCUUACGGGUGGCGAGUGGCGGACGGGUGAGGAAUACAUCGGAAUCUACUUUUUCGUGGGGGAUAACGUAGGGAAACUUACGCUAAUACCGCAUACGACCUACGGGUGAAAGCAGGGGAUCUUCGGACCUUGCGCGAUUGAAUGAGCCGAUGUCGGAUUAGCUAGUUGGCGGGGUAAAGGCCCACCAAGGCGACGAUCCGUAGCUGGUCUGAGUGGAGGAUAGCCCACACGGGAAGUGAAACACGUCCAAGGCUCCUAAGGGAGGGAGCAGGGGGGAAGAGUGGAAAAUGGGGGAAAGCCUUACCCACCCAGCCCGCGUGGGUUAAAAAGGCCUGGGGGUUGGAAAGCCGUUUUUUGGGGAAAAAAAAGCAGCAGGUUAAUACCCCGCGGUCGUGACGGUACCAAAAAAAGAAGCACCGGCUAACUUCGUG
This 492-nucleotide ribosomal RNA is filed under the name uncultured bacterium. RNAcentral describes it as "partial 16S ribosomal RNA". It matches the Rfam family "Bacterial small subunit ribosomal RNA", at positions 29 to 507 of the family's 1533-position model. The record is from RNAcentral.